RNAcentral lists this transfer RNA (69 nucleotides) under Ictidomys tridecemlineatus (thirteen-lined ground squirrel). RNAcentral's name for it is "Spermophilus tridecemlineatus (thirteen-lined ground squirrel) tRNA". It matches the Rfam family "tRNA". From Rfam's summary of the family: Transfer RNA (tRNA) molecules are approximately 80 nucleotides in length. Their secondary structure includes four short double-helical elements and three loops (D, anti-codon, and T loops). Lineage: Eukaryota; Metazoa; Chordata; Mammalia; Rodentia; Sciuridae. The record is from Rfam by way of RNAcentral.
GGAGUUGUAGCUCAGAGGUAGAGCAUUUGCCUUGUACAUGUGAGGCACUGGGUUCAAUUCCCAGCACCA